Molecule: long non-coding RNA, 1041 nt
Organism: Brassica oleracea var. oleracea
Lineage: Eukaryota; Viridiplantae; Streptophyta; Magnoliopsida; Brassicales; Brassicaceae
Exons: 3
Source: RefSeq, a predicted model, not a curated record
AUUAUAUAUGGGCUUCAUGUUGUACGUAUAACCCCAAUUAUAUUUCCUUCUUCCGUCUGCGUUAAGACGACGUCACCGUCGCGUCGAUCCAAGUACAGGCCACCGCCUCUUACCAGAAAAGGUGUAACGUUCUAGGCUUUCAUUCAAUCUCCGUGAUUUACGUUCCCAAUCACCUUCAUUAACUCCCAUUCAGUAGCACCUUCACCCUCCUCGAUGGUUACAAAACUUAUCCUAUAAAUAAGGAGGUAAGCUUCUCCUAAAUUCACCAAUCAUCACCUCUCACCCUCAAUCAUCAUAAUACUUUGCUUAAGUAUGAAGAUUUCUUCAUGGAGAUUCUGAUAUCGCUAUGGAGUUUCGAGCUGUUGAUACACUUUGUGAAUCUUCAAUCCCGACAUUUUGUCUUCUUUUCUAAUCAACAAAAACUUAUAAAGAGAGCUAUUCAAGACGAAUUGCGAUGAAUCUGAUGAUGAUUCCUUGGAUCGAGAAGUCUUGGUGUCGUUUCAUCUCAUGUUCUUCUCCCCAGAACCCUUAAGCAAUGAAAUGAUUGUCUUUCACUAACGACCCAUCUUAUGCACACACACAAAAAAAAAGAUCUCUACUCUGUUUGAUGUUGGCUAUCUGAGUCAGACUUUGCUUAAUAGUUUGAUGUAUGAUUAAUGAGAAAGCCAGGGUCUGCUUCCCAAGGUUCGGAUAGAAGAGGUGGGUUUGAUUACAGAAAAGAUGAAAUUAACCAGACACAUGAAAAGGUGAUUAGAGCUUCAGAGACACUUGACUCAUGCAACUUGAUAGGAAAGCUCGGAACCUAACAUUAUCUUGGAGAUUGGGACUAGCAGAAGAGGUAACAGCAGGCUCUCAUGACGUCUCUGAUGCUGUGGAAACAUGACCAAAGGUGCGAUUCCUUGGUUUCUUCAAUAUAGAGUCCACGAAAUUUUUUGUAUAUUCAACUCUAUGUUCUACUUUGUAUCUUUUCAGUUGUAAAAAGGUAUAACAAAUAUGCAAUGUGCCUAUUUUUAGAGAAUAAAGUUAGGCCUCGUUUGUACA